GCUUUGAGACUGGAAGUGGAAACGCGGACGCGCUGCAACGAAGUCCGGCGCGUGUUUCUGCUCACACCGGGACCUCACACAGAACACUUACAACCUGCCCCGUUAGUGUUUUUCCUCUUUAAGUAAUCGCCCUCUCAGAAGAAAGUAACGCGGAUGAGCCACGCAGAGUUUCCGCACAGAGUGAGUUUUGCGUGGACUGAUUCAUCAGCGGGGUGCAUUAAUCCAGUGGCACGGAGACAGUGGAGCAGACGCACGUUUUCUUUUGUUGCAGACUCAGGACCAGACGCUGUAAAAUGUUGUCAAACCCUUCCUUCCCGGUGACCGCUCUCCUCCUCGUCUGCGUUGCGUUACCAACUGCGUGCGGAUGUCAGCCCACCAGUGAGCCCAGCAAAGGAGGUCUCCAGUCGGUCCUGGAUGAAUCCGUGUCCCCUGCUUUUGGCGCCACCAUCAUCAUCAUCCUCACGGGGAUCAUGUCCGCCAGCGCCUACCUCUGCUUCCUGAAGUACGUGUGCGCCGGCUGCUGCAGGCCCACGCAGGUGGCUCCCGCUGUGGACAUGGACCCCGACAAGGUCGAAGAGCAGGUAUAGCACAGCUGGAGAGAGACGCAGACAAAGAAGAGAAGCCCAGAAGGUUAAAAAAGAAUGGACUCAGACGCCAGCAGCAUUUUACGUCUGCUCUGUCUGACUCUCCUCGUGUCACAACACGAGCUGAGGAUGCAUAACUGGACUGUUCGUUUCUGGCCUCGCUUGAUCUAACUGUGACCUGCUGGUUGAUCUCUCAUCAGACGAUUUCCAUCUAGAUAUUGGACUGUGGGAAAAUUUAGUUUGUUUUGUGUGUUACUUUUAAGGAAUGAUGCAACGUCUGCAAGGCAGGAUGUUGCUGGAGAAAACCGGAGAUUUGACUUGGCAGAAAGUUAAGGAAAAACAGUUGCUAGACAUGACCCGUUGUGAGGAGACAGUCCUCCAGGAUUAUGAUAUAGUGUUACAGUGUAACUGACUGAAAACUCUUUCAAGAAAAUUAUGGGCAUGGCACUGAGUGUGAUAAAGUACAUACGUUUUUUUGAGGAAAAGCUUGUUCCCAUCAAGAAGGUCCGUUGCCCAGUAACAAGCCGUGGAUGAAAACUCCAGCGUGAAAGUGCUGUCGAGGACGGAGAGAGCUUUGAUGGCAAGAAGUAGUAAGAGUGUAAGAAUGAGGGCUCUCUGGCAAGCGCCGCAGAACAUGGUGAUCUGAGAGUUGUGCUUUCAUUAUCAAUAUUUGUGUUCUAUACUACAGGUGUUGCACAAUAUAAAUAUGACAGGGAUCACAGACUGUAUAAAUAUGGACGGCAGCCACACGGAGCCACGCUUUUAUCCCUGAUCCGACCGCACUUCCUCCAGAGUCAUUAUACACUAUAAUUGUUUUUAAAAUGUUUUUUUUUUUUUUUUUUACAACUCUCACAGUCCCGCAGGACCGCUUUUUAGUGCGGUUGGCAUGGCACCUGCUGGUCGCCAUUAUGUCGCAUCCUGUUUCUAUAGCGUCAGUGGAUAGUCCCAUCCACUAACAUGGAGGAGGUGACCUAUACUGCAGCCAGACACCAGGGGGAGCUCUGCUUGUUUUGUCUUCACUUUUGAGGAGCUGUCCAUAUUUAUACAGACUAUGGCAGGGACCAACUGUAUCCAUGGCGUUUGUGUUUGUGUAAUAAUUUUUGAAAUAAUCCUCUCAGGGAAGCUGCUUAAUACACAGGAUCACUGUGAUGGUUCCAGAAUUGCUGGUUCCUGCAACUUCACUCAGAUUCUCUAAGUGUUCCCAUGAUCAAGGCAGCUGCCUGUCCCACAUCUCGGGACUUUGAGUGAAUACAGUGAUUUUCUCUGUCAGGGUGAGGUAAGUGUUUGUGCCUCCGAGAAGAUUUUCCGAACGCAAAAGGCCACUCAGAUUUCCUUCUAGGUAUCUGUCGAGGAUGUUGAAGACCCACUCUGCUGUACUUCUACUUUGGGUGACCUUGCACAACCACAUAUCAUCACUCAGUGAUCGGAAAUGUAGAAAGCAGACACAUUAGAUAAAUAAGAAUAGGAAGACGCUAGACAGGGAAAACCAAGGAAGGAACUUUUAAAGUUAGAGCAGGAAACGGAAGGAAGACCAAAUCGAAUUAUGGAAGAUGUGCAAAGCUCGAUGCAGUGGAAACAGGAAAGGUUCAAAGCACAAUGUCCUGCCAUGUGCAGCUUAACAAUCCCACCCCACAGGGAUAAAUCUGCAUGAGAUCUGAUAGUGAGAGAGAGAGACUCCGUGGGUUAAGGAGGGCAAUAGGUUCAAAGGUGACCAGGAAGAAAUGCACGAGCUAAGGGCACUUAGCUUAAUUGAAGAAUAAAACAAUAAAAGAUAAAUAUGUAAUAAAACGACAUUAAAAAAGAAGAGAUAAAAGAACACAUUAAAAUUAUGAGUGUGUUUAGGCUGUAUAAACACCACGCUUGGGAAUUUUUAUGAUGGGCAGCGUGUAUCAUGAAUACACAUAAGCGUGAUAGAUUAUUGCAUUGCAGGCACUAAACUAUUAAAUGAACAUUUAACUGUCUUAAUGUAAUUUCUUCGUGACCAACGGUGCAAAAAUGGUCUAAUGGUGGAUUAUUAACAGGAUGUGAUGUAAGCAACAUAACAGAUAUGUGAGUAUCAACCCAUCGGUGCUGGAGUACCAAGAGGAUGAAAAGCAGAAGCAUCUGGAAUAGCAUGUUUCUGAGUCGUCUAUUAUCAAACUGGAGGAUUGAUUACAUUUUUAACCCAUACAGUGAUGAUAUUUCCUUCAGUAAGGCUGCAGCUUUUUAAGUCCCUACACUGCUUUAAAAAACAAAACUAAAACUAAAACAACUGGACUCGUUGAUUUUUCUUGGUGGGAGUUUUGACAACAGACUAGGGUCUGUUAAUGAACUAGUACACAUCUGACAUUAGGGACAUUUGUUCAAGUUAACCAUAUAUUUAAUGCUCUUUCAAAGCAUCUGCCUUCUGUGGCUAUUAGUUCCCUCACUGCACCAAACUGCUGUACAUAAACGUUGCUGUUUUAUCCAUGAUCAGAGACUUCUUGUGUUUCCCCAUAAAACAUUCAGAAUCAAUGGAAUGUACUUCAAAUGUCAAUUUGUCAUGAGAAGAGCGACUUCAAUAUUAUGGGCUGGAUUAGAGUAGUUGGUUACGUUGCGUCAUGUGUCAGUGUCUUGUUUGCCAUCUCUUUCGACUGUGUCUCUGUUUUAUUAUAUAACAUGUUUAUUGCGAUGCACGUUGUAAUUUUUAUCUGUGAAAAUUGCUAAGUAUAUAAACUGGCUAGCAAGUAAAGCUGGCAUUCAUACUUGACGUCUACACCGUCGGUUUUAACAUCAACAGAGAGACAAACAACCAUUCACACUCACAGAAUCACCAAUCAACCUCAUGAACAAACUCCACAACGCCUCCUCGCUGUGAGGCAUCAGU
Long non-coding RNA from Mugil cephalus (flathead mullet), 3429 nucleotides. RefSeq lists it as uncharacterized. The record is from RefSeq and is a predicted model, not a curated record. The transcript has 3 exons. NCBI's taxonomy places the organism in Eukaryota, Metazoa, Chordata, Actinopteri, Mugiliformes, Mugilidae.